CCUACGGGAGGCAGCAGUGGGGAAUUUUGGACAAUGGGGGAAACCCUGAUCCAGCCAUGCCGCGUGCGGGAAGAAGGCCUUCGGGUUGUAAACCGCUUUUGGCAGGAACGAAACGGCGCGCGCGAAUAGCGCUCGCUAAUGACGGUACCUGCAGAAUAAGCACCGGCUAACUACGUGCCAGCAGCCGCGGUAAUACGUAGGGUGCAAGCGUUAAUCGGAAUUACUGGGCGUAAAGCGUACGCAGGCGGCUAUGCAAGACAGAUGUGAAAUCCCCGGGCUUAACCUGGGAACUGCAUUUGUGACUGCAAGGCUAGAGUACGGCAGAGGGGGGUAGAAUUCCACGUGUAGCAGUGAAAUGCGUAGAUAUGUGGAGGAAUACCGAUGGCGAAGGCAGCCCCCUGGGUCGAUACUGACGCUCAUGCACGAAAGCGUGGGGAGCAAACAGGAUUAGAUACCCUGGUAGUCCACGCCCUAAACGAUGUCAACUAGGUGUUGGGGGAGGAGACUUCCUUAGUACCGCAGCUAACGCGUGAAGUUGACCGCCUGGGGAGUACGGUCGCAAGAUUAAAACUCAAAGGAAUUGACGG
RNAcentral lists this ribosomal RNA (587 nucleotides) under uncultured bacterium. RNAcentral's name for it is "bacterial SSU rRNA". It matches the Rfam family "Bacterial small subunit ribosomal RNA", at positions 338 to 916 of the family's 1533-position model. The record is from RNAcentral.